Molecule: ribosomal RNA, 387 nt
Filed under: uncultured bacterium
Lineage: Bacteria
Description: bacterial SSU rRNA
Rfam family: Bacterial small subunit ribosomal RNA
Source: RNAcentral
AUUGAACGCUGGCGGCAUGCUUUACACAUGCAAGUCGAGCGGCAGCGCGGGGGCAACCCUGGCGGCGAGCGGCGGACGGGUGAGUAAUGCAUCGGAACGUAUCCCGUAGUGGGGGACAACCCAGCGAAAGCUGGGCUAAUACCGCAUAUGCUCUACGGAGGAAAGCAGGGGACUCGCAAGAGCCUUGUGCUAUGGGAGCGGCCGAUGUCCGAUUAGCUAGUUGGUGGGUAAAGGCUUACCAAGGCGACGAUCGGUAGCUGGUCUGAGAGGAUGAUCAGCCACACUGGGACUGAGACACGGCCCAGACUCCUACGGGAGGCAGCAGUGGGGAAUUUUGGACAAUGGGGGCAACCCUGAUCCAGCCAUGCCGCGUGCGGGAAGAAGGCC